RNAcentral lists this ribosomal RNA (486 nucleotides) under uncultured bacterium. RNAcentral describes it as "partial 16S ribosomal RNA". It matches the Rfam family "Bacterial small subunit ribosomal RNA", at positions 30 to 507 of the family's 1533-position model. The record is from RNAcentral.
AUUGAACGCUGGCGGCAUGCCUUACACAUGCAAGUCGAACGGCAGCACGGGUGCUUGCCCCUGGUGGCGAGUGGCGAACGGGUGAGUAAUACAUCGGAACAUGUCCUGUAGUGGGGGAUAGCCCGGCGAAAGCCGGAUUAAUACCGCAUACGAUCCACGGAUGAAAGCGGGGGACCUUCGGGCCUCGCGCUAUAGGGUUGGCCGAUGGCUGAUUAGCUAGUUGGUGGGGUAAAGGCCUACCAAGGGGACGAUCAGUAGCUGGUCUGAGAGGACGACCAGCCACACUGGGACUGAGACACGGCCCAGACUCCUACGGGAGGCAGCAGUGGGGAAUUUUGGACAAUGGGCGAAAGCCUGAUCCAGCAAUGCCGCGUGUGUGAAGAAGGCCUUCGGGUUGUAAAGCACUUUUGUCCGGAAAGAAAUCCUUGACUCUAAUACAGUCGGGGGAUGACGGUACCGGAAGAAUAAGCACCGGCUAACUACGUG